GUAGUCAUAUGCUUGUCUCAAAGAUUAAGCCAUGCAUGUCUAAGUAUAAGCAACUUGUACUGUGAAACUGCGAAUGGCUCAUUAAAUCAGUUAUCGUUUAUUUGAUAGUACCUUACUACAUGGAUACCUGUGGUAAUUCUAGAGCUAAUACAUGCUAAAAACCCCGACUUCAGGAAGGGGUGUAUUUAUUAGAUAAAAAACCAACGCCCUUCGGGGCUCCUUGGUGAAUCAUAAUAACUUAACGAAUCGCAUGGCCUUGCGCCGGCGAUGGUUCAUUCAAAUUUCUGCCCUAUCAACUUUCGAUGGUAGGAUAGUGGCCUACCAUGGUGGCAACGGGUAACGGGGAAUUAGGGUUCGAUUCCGGAGAGGGAGCCUGAGAAACGGCUACCACAUCCAAGGAAGGCAGCAGGCGCGCAAAUUACCCAAUCCCGAUACGGGGAGGUAGUGACAAUAAAUACUGAUACGGGGCUCUUUUGGGUCUCGCAAUUGGAAUGAGAACAAUUUAAAUCCCUUAACGAGG
This 520-nucleotide ribosomal RNA is filed under the name uncultured fungus. Its description in RNAcentral is "SSU rRNA". It matches the Rfam family "Eukaryotic small subunit ribosomal RNA", at positions 20 to 542 of the family's 1831-position model. The record is from RNAcentral. Lineage: Eukaryota; Fungi.